GUGCUUGCUUCAGCAGCACAUAUAUUAAAAUUGGAGUUAUAAAGAGAAGAUUAGCAUGACUUCUGUGCAAGGAUGACAUGCAAAUUUCUGAAGCAUCCAUAUUUCCU
RNAcentral lists this small nuclear RNA (107 nucleotides) under Tupaia belangeri (northern tree shrew). Lineage: Eukaryota; Metazoa; Chordata; Mammalia; Scandentia; Tupaiidae. The record is from RNAcentral.